RNAcentral lists this ribosomal RNA (404 nucleotides) under uncultured bacterium. RNAcentral's name for it is "partial 16S ribosomal RNA". It matches the Rfam family "Bacterial small subunit ribosomal RNA", at positions 28 to 526 of the family's 1533-position model. The record is from RNAcentral.
GACGAACGCUGGCGGCGUGCCUAAUACAUGCAAGUCGAACGCAGUGGGGACGGGUGAGUAACACGUGGGUAACAUCCCCAUAAGAGGGGAUAACACAUGGAAACAGGUGCUAAAACGAUAAUACUUGAUGGACCCGCGGUGCAUUAGCUCGUUGGGGGGGUAACGGCUCACCAAGGCCACGAUGCAUAGCCGACCUGAGAGGGUGAUCGGCCACACUGGGACUGAGACACGGCCCAGACUCCUACGGGAGGCAGCAGUAGGGAAUCUUCGGCAAUGGACGAAAGUCUGACCGAGCAACGCCGCGGGAGUGAAGAAGGUUUUCGGAUCGUAAAACUCUGUUGUUAGAGAAGCGGUAUCUAACCAGAAAGCCACGGCUAACUACGUGCCAGCAGCCGCGGUAAUAC